This 429-nucleotide ribosomal RNA is filed under the name Acidobacteriota bacterium. Its description in RNAcentral is "Acidobacteria bacterium partial 16S ribosomal RNA". It matches the Rfam family "Bacterial small subunit ribosomal RNA", at positions 355 to 776 of the family's 1533-position model. Lineage: Bacteria; Pseudomonadati; Acidobacteriota. The record is from RNAcentral.
UGGGGAAUUUUGGACAAUGGGGGAAACCCUGAUCCAGCCAUCCCGCGUGUGCGAUGAAGGCCUUCGGGUUGUAAAGCACUUUUGGCAGGAAAGAAACGUCAUGGGUUAAUACCCCGUGAAACUGACGGUACCUGCAGAAUAAGCACCGGCUAACUACGUGCCAGCAGCCGCGGUAAUACGUAGGGUGCAAGCGUUAAUCGGAAUUACUGGGCGUAAAGCGUGCGCAGGCGGUUCGGAAAGAAAGAUGUGAAAUCCCAGAGCUCAACUUUGGAACUGCAUUUUUAACUACCGGGCUAGAGUAUGUCAGAGGGAGGUGGAAUUCCGCGUGUAGCAGUGAAAUGCGUAGAUAUGCGGAGGAACACCGAUGGCGAAGGCAGCCUCCUGGGAUAACACUGACGCUCAUGCACGAAAGCGUGGGGAGCAAACAGG